Molecule: transfer RNA, 72 nt
Filed under: Stegodyphus mimosarum
Lineage: Eukaryota; Metazoa; Arthropoda; Arachnida; Araneae; Eresidae
Rfam family: tRNA
About the family: Transfer RNA (tRNA) molecules are approximately 80 nucleotides in length. Their secondary structure includes four short double-helical elements and three loops (D, anti-codon, and T loops). Further hydrogen bonds mediate the characteristic L-shaped molecular structure. tRNAs have two regions of fundamental functional importance: the anti-codon, which is responsible for specific mRNA codon recognition, and the 3' end, to which the tRNAs corresponding amino acid is attached (by aminoacyl-tRNA synthetases). tRNAs cope with the degeneracy of the genetic code in two manners: having more than one tRNA (with a specific anti-codon) for a particular amino acid; and 'wobble' base-pairing, i.e. permitting non-standard base-pairing at the 3rd anti-codon position.
Source: Rfam by way of RNAcentral
GCCUUUGUGGCAUAAUGGUUAGCGCACUCGGCCGGUAUUCGAGAGGUCAAGGUUCGAGACCCGGCGAGGGCA